This 326-nucleotide ribosomal RNA is filed under the name uncultured Desulfococcus sp. RNAcentral describes it as "bacterial SSU rRNA". It matches the Rfam family "Bacterial small subunit ribosomal RNA", at positions 29 to 334 of the family's 1533-position model. The record is from RNAcentral. Lineage: Bacteria; Pseudomonadati; Thermodesulfobacteriota; Desulfobacteria; Desulfobacterales; Desulfococcaceae.
AAUGAACGCUGGCGGCGUGCUUAACACAUGCAAGUCGCACGAGAACGCUUCAGCUUGCUGAAGUUAGUAAAGUGGCGCACGGGUGAGUAACGCGUGGGUAAUCUUCCCCCGAGUUGGGGAUAACAUUGCGAAAGCGAUGCUAAUACCGGAUAAUAUCUCAAGUACUCCGGUACUUGAGAUCAAAGGUGGCCUCUACAUGUAAGCUACCGUUUGGGGAUGAGCCCGCGUACCAUUAGCUUGUUGGUAGGGUAAUGGCCUACCAAGGCUGCGAUGGUUAGCUGGUCUGAGAGGAUGAUCAGCCACACUGGAACUGACACACGGUCCAG